Molecule: long non-coding RNA, 1041 nt
Organism: Salvia splendens (bonfire salvia)
Lineage: Eukaryota; Viridiplantae; Streptophyta; Magnoliopsida; Lamiales; Lamiaceae
Exons: 2
Source: RefSeq, a predicted model, not a curated record
AAUCUAUGCUCUCUCCCUCCUUCCUCUUUAAUCAACCCCUGUUUUGAAGCCAAAGUUAAGUAAUUUGUUUUCAAUCUCUCUUUUUAUAAUCCCGCUUUUAAAUUAAUUCCUUAUCAUUUAAAUUUAAAGAUGUCUUUGUUAGACUUUUUCAAAUGAUGUUUUCAUCUGUGCAACAUAUCAUAUAUUUCUAAUAUACUUAAUAACAUUCUGAACCUGAUUGCCAGAUAUAUUUUUAAAGAACAAAGUGUUUGUUAAUAGUUUUUCUUUUGGAAGAAUAAAGCUGGUCGCAAGGAACACAAUGCGUUGAACACUAAGGGUUCGUUUGGUUGUACUGAUAGUAUUGUGUUUGAUAGUAUUGUGAUAUCUGAUUGUAUUCCAUUGUGUGUUGAGAUUUAUAUCUCAGUUGAUGUUUGAUUGCACUGAUAGCAUCUACCUUGAUAAGUUCCACGGUGUUUGUUUGGGAAUGAAGAAACUACUGAUACAAAUAUGAUGGACAAAUAUGACCUCACAAAAUAACAUAUUGUCAAUGAUGCUACUGAAGAGUUGGAGAAGCAUUUACACAUGGUGAUGCAGCUUCGUGCUUAAAAAUGGUGGAGUGAAGGGCUAUAAUGGUGACUUGGCCGAAUUUCACCAACCGGGCUUUGCGAGAUUGAGUAUUAUCGGAGGGGAGGUCCUGGGCAGGAUUUUACGGUGGUUUGCAGUUAGCUAUCAUAAAUGCAUUCGGAUCUUGAUUUGUUUACCGGGUCGACGAGAUAGUAUAUCAGUACAACCAAACACCUGAUAUACCUCCGAUAGGCGGCCCUAUCAAGGCCUAUCAGUACAACCAAACGAGGCCUAAAAGGCUUACCAACCGACUUAGAAGUUUGCCAACCGACUUACAAGCUUUAUAAGUAAAAAAGUACAACAAUUACAAAAACAAUUUGGUCGUUACCCAUAUAUGGCAAUCAGGGUAAAAAAUUUAUUAAAAUUUAGAACUGAGAAUAGAAAUACCCCAAAUGUUAUCCAGAGUAAUGAAUUACAUAUGCCCAUUGAUUACUCAAA